Molecule: ribosomal RNA, 569 nt
Filed under: Ichthyococcus irregularis (bulldog lightfish)
Lineage: Eukaryota; Metazoa; Chordata; Actinopteri; Stomiiformes; Phosichthyidae
Description: partial large subunit ribosomal RNA
Rfam family: Bacterial large subunit ribosomal RNA
Source: RNAcentral
CUUGUCAACUAAGCAUAAGAGGUCCCGCCUGCCCUGUGACUAUGGGUUUAACGGCCGCGGUAUUUUGACCGUGCGAAGGUAGCGCAAUCACUUGUCUUUUAAAUGGAGACCUGUAUGAAUGGCACGACGAGGGCUCAACUGUCUCCUUUUCCCAGUCAAUGAAAUUGAUCUUCCCGUGCAGAAGCGGGAAUACCACCAUAAGACGAGAAGACCCCAUGGAGCUUUAGACACUAGGCAGCCCACAUUAAACAAAUCUGCACCACCAGAAAGAAUUUAGUGGCCCCUCUCCUACUUGUCUUUGGUUGGGGCGACCGCGGAGGAAAAAAGAGCCUCCAUGUGGACUGAGAGCACUGCUCUCACAGCCAAGACCCACAGCUCUAAGCAACAGAAUUUCUGACCAAAAUGAUCCGGCACAAGCCGAUCAACGAACCGAGUUACCCUGGGGAUAACAGCGCAAUCCUCUCCCAGAGUCCCUAUCGACGAGGGGGUUUACGACCUCGAUGUUGGAUCAGGACAUCCUAAUGGUGCAGCCGCUAUUAAGGGUUCGUUUGUUCAACGAUUAAAGUCCU